CCCAAGGCCACUUUAUAACAUGUUCCCCUGGGGGGUAGGCCUACAGCGAGGACAAGGGUAAGAUAUGGUCCUGACCAACAGUUGGCAACAGUCCUUCAGUGGUCAACGGGUGAUCUCGGCUUGUGUUGACAGGUUGCUUCUGGGUUAACGCAGUGGAGGCUGUUGCUCCUGGACUCUUGCUGCUGGGACACGUCUCAUGUUGAGAGCCGGGCUCCUGUCUCAUCAAAUCCCAUGGACAGAGGUGCCUCGGUGGGCUAUAACCCAUGGAGUUGCAAAGAGUUGAACACAACUGAGCAACUAGCAAAAAAAAGAAACACCUUCAAGGGAAAACAGUGUGGAAAUGUUAGAAAUACGAUCACCUGGGAAAUCAGCACUAACUCCAGGAGGCUCCUGUUCAGAUGUGAGCGUGCCUGCCUCCCACACUGAACACUCUACUGGUCAUUCUCACCUGGACAGCAAUUCAUUUCUCAGGUAACUAGCUGCCACAUUGAAAAAGGAGAAAAGUGUCUUGGGGCAGGGUUUUCUGGACAGUGACAGCUGAAGAGAAGAAAUCGAGGUCCGGUGUACUCUGUGGAGCAGUGAGAUCAGGGAGUUACCCAGAAAAUGCAGUGGAGUGGAAUCCGGCCCGAGAGCGGCAACUCUUGAGCCCGCAUUCCUAGAGCGCGUGCUCCACACCAAGAGAAGCCACUGAAGUGAGAAGCCCUCACACCACCGCGAGAGAGCAGGCCCUGCUUGUCACAGCUACAGACAGACUGCACGCAGCUAGACCCAGCACAGCCAACAAUAAACAAACAACAAAUUAAUUUUUUAAAGAGUCCUUACUGAAGCAGUAAAAUAUCUAUAU
Molecule: long non-coding RNA, 844 nt
Organism: Bos taurus (domestic cattle)
Lineage: Eukaryota; Metazoa; Chordata; Mammalia; Artiodactyla; Bovidae
Source: Ensembl